Molecule: ribosomal RNA, 618 nt
Filed under: uncultured bacterium
Lineage: Bacteria
Description: bacterial SSU rRNA
Rfam family: Bacterial small subunit ribosomal RNA
Source: RNAcentral
CAAAGGUUGAUUCCGGUGGCGGAUGGGCAUGCGUCGCAUUAGUUAGUUGGCGGUGUAACGGACCACCAAGACGACGAUGCGUAGGGGUUCUGAGAGGAAGGUCCCCCACACUGGUACUGAGACACGGACCAGACUCCUACGGGAGGCAGCAGUGAGGAAUAUUGGUCAAUGGGCGGGAGCCUGAACCAGCCAAGUCGCGUGAGGGAUGACGGCCCUAUGGGUUGUAAACCUCUUUUGCCGGGGAGCAAAGUGCCGCACGUGUGCGGUUUGGAGAGUACCCGGAGAAAAAGCAUCGGCUAACUCCGUGCCAGCAGCCGCGGUAAUACGGAGGAUGCGAGCGUUAUCCGGAUUUAUUGGGUUUAAAGGGUGCGUAGGCGGACGCUUAAGUCAGCGGUAAAAUUGCGGGGCUCAACCUCGUCGAGCCGUUGAAACUGGGUGCCUUGAGUGGGCGAGAAGUACGCGGAAUGCGUGGUGUAGCGGUGAAAUGCAUAGAUAUCACGCAGAACUCCGAUUGCGAAGGCAGCGUACCGGCGCCCAACUGACGCUGAAGCACGAAGGCGUGGGUAUCGAACAGGAUUAGAUACCCUGGUAGUCCACGCAGUCAACGAUGAAUGCUAG